Molecule: ribosomal RNA, 570 nt
Filed under: Escherichia coli
Lineage: Bacteria; Pseudomonadati; Pseudomonadota; Gammaproteobacteria; Enterobacterales; Enterobacteriaceae
Description: partial 23S ribosomal RNA
Rfam family: Bacterial large subunit ribosomal RNA
Source: RNAcentral
UAGGGGAGCCGAAGGGAAACCGAGUCUUAACUGGGCGUUAAGUUGCAGGGUAUAGACCCGAAACCCGGUGAUCUAGCCAUGGGCAGGUUGAAGGUUGGGUAACACUAACUGGAGGACCGAACCGACUAAUGUUGAAAAAUUAGCGGAUGACUUGUGGCUGGGGGUGAAAGGCCAAUCAAACCGGGAGAUAGCUGGUUCUCCCCGAAAGCUAUUUAGGUAGCGCCUCGUGAAUUCAUCUCCGGGGGUAGAGCACUGUUUCGGCAAGGGGGUCAUCCCGACUUACCAACCCGAUGCAAACUGCGAAUACCGGAGAAUGUUAUCACGGGAGACACACGGCGGGUGCUAACGUCCGUCGUGAAGAGGGAAACAACCCAGACCGCCAGCUAAGGUCCCAAAGUCAUGGUUAAGUGGGAAACGAUGUGGGAAGGCCCAGACAGCCAGGAUGUUGGCUUAGAAGCAGCCAUCAUUUAAAGAAAGCGUAAUAGCUCACUGGUCGAGUCGGCCUGCGCGGAAGAUGUAACGGGGCUAAACCAUGCACCGAAGCUGCGGCAGCGACACUGUGUGUUGUUG